RNAcentral lists this long non-coding RNA (566 nucleotides) under Fukomys damarensis (Damara mole-rat). RNAcentral describes it as "lncRNA (ENSFDAG00000029636.1)". Lineage: Eukaryota; Metazoa; Chordata; Mammalia; Rodentia; Bathyergidae. The record is from RNAcentral.
CGCGCUCGGAAGGCCGAAGCAGUUGAGCUAAAGGCCGAGGCCCAGCAUCUGGAGGCAUUUCACGCAAUUCUGGAAACCCUGGAGGAACCAGAACAGGGGCAGCGAGACCUCAAGGCCGGCUGGAGACUGCAGGGGCCUGAACUUCCGUUGUGUUAAAUACACCUCUCCAGGCAGGUGGGCGUCUCCCUGGGAGAUCCCAAGACCAGAUGAAGAAACAAAGGCCAAGACCCUGACUGGAAUAGCCCACACCAAUGAACAAUGGUUUGCCCCUGUCAGUGUGGACAACAUUCCAUAGGGAAUCCUGAGUGGGAUGCCCCUGUCGUGCAGCACCACUGCUCUCCUAAGACAGCUCUCCUGUUUUCUCUGCAUUACUGGUAAACACUUUAAAUAAACUUUUGCUUUGCACUGUACCAAAAACAAAGCCCCCCGCAAAGUAGCAUGACUAGAAGAUAAGACUAAAUCACUUAAAUUCAAUUAACUCUUACGACCUCAAAAAUAAAACACCAGUGCACCUUCAUAUCUUAGCUUUGAGAAAGUUUGCUCCCCAAAAAUAUCCAUUGAAAGUG